RNAcentral lists this ribosomal RNA (468 nucleotides) under uncultured bacterium. Its description in RNAcentral is "partial 16S ribosomal RNA". It matches the Rfam family "Bacterial small subunit ribosomal RNA", at positions 28 to 507 of the family's 1533-position model. The record is from RNAcentral.
GACGAACGCUGGCGGCGCGCCUAACACAUGCAAGUCGAACGGAGCUGAGAGAAGCUUGCUUUUCUUAGCUUAGUGGCGAACGGGUGAGUAACGCGUGAGUAACCUGCCCUGGAGUGGGGGACAACAGUUGGAAACGACUGCUAAUACCGCAUAAGCCCACGAUCCGGCAUCGGAUUGAGGGAAAAGGAUUUAUUCGCUUCAGGAUGGACUCGCGUCCAAUUAGCUAGUUGGUGAGGUAACGGCCCACCAAGGCGACGAUUGGUAGCCGGACUGAGAGGUUGAGCGGCCACAUUGGGACUGAGACACGGCCCAGACUCCUACGGGAGGCAGCAGUGGGGGAUAUUGCACAAUGGGGUAAACCCUGAUGCAGCGACGCCGCGUGGAGGAAGAAGGUUUUCGGAUUGUAAACUCCUGUCGUUAGGGACGAUGAUGACGGUACCUAACAAGAAAGCACCGGCUAACUACGUG